GAUUGUAGAGGAGGCACACAAAGGCUUUAUGGUAAUUUCAACAGUAAAAUACUGUAGAAUGUACAACAAAAUGCCUUAAAUGUGUUUUACAGAAUUCAUUAUGCUGCAUUGUGGGAAAGAAUCUAUGGGCGGGGAAAGAGUCUGGCGCAUGAACAUAUUUUAAGGCGUCUCUUGUAAGAGACUACUUUUGAACACUAGUGAGUGCAUGGUAUUGUUGCUUCUGACUCAUUAACAUAUUUUGAGGUGUGUCUUGUAAAAGGAUAUAUUUGUUGCACCCGUUAGUGAGAAUUCUGUACGAAUUUAACUAAUAUGUGGGAGUGGUUCCCAAAAAUGUAAUUUAUAUAGGGGACAGAUCAGAGUGGCAACAAAUCUCAAACCUUUAAUGGUUGAUCUGUUUCACCCUGACAGUUUAGAAGUCUUUGUUAAAGCAGAAAGUGAAAGGGAUAUAAACACCAAAUAUCUACACUGUAAUAUUUACUAUUAGCAAUUGUUGAGUUGAUUUAAAUACAAAUAAAAACUAAAGUACUGUAUUGCUGUUUUGCUCUAUAUUUAAUGCAGUAUAUUGUAAAUUAUGGUUCAUUUUCGGAAAAUAUUGUGGGAGGCGAAAGCAUCGCUGGCUCAUUAAGGGCUAGGUUGUUAUAGCUCUGUUUACAGGACCGUCACCAUUUAAAAUCAGGGUAGGUUGUUAUAGCUCCACCUUGUUUACAGUAACAUCACCAUUUAAAAUCUGGGGUAGGUUGUUAUAGCUCUGUUUACAGUAACAUCACCAUUUAAAGUCAGGGGAAGGUUCUUAUAGCUCCUCCUUGUUUACAGUAACAUCACCAUUUAAGAUCUGGGGUAGGUUGUUAUAGCUCUGUUUACAGUAAUAUCACCAUUUAAAAUCAGGGCUAGGUUGUUAUAGCUCUGUUUACAGUAAUAUCACCAUUUAAAAUCAGGGCUAGGUUGUUAUAGCUCUGUUUACAGUAAUAUCACCAUUUAAAAUCAGGGCUAGGUUGUUAUAGCUCUGCGCCAGGCUCACAACCUUUCACCGAAUGCCAACACAUUCUGGGCCAUCUGAUUUGUCCGGUAACGAUGGGUUGAGUCAGAGCUAGAAC
Molecule: long non-coding RNA, 1094 nt
Filed under: Salmo salar (Atlantic salmon)
Lineage: Eukaryota; Metazoa; Chordata; Actinopteri; Salmoniformes; Salmonidae
Description: lncRNA (ENSSSAG00000102302.1)
Source: RNAcentral